UACGGAGGGUCCAAGCGUUAUCCGGAAUCAUUGGGUUUAAAGGGUCCGUAGGCGGUUUUGUAAGUCAGAGGUGAAAGCCCAUCGCUCAACGGUGGAACGGCCAUUGAUACUGCAAGACUUGAAUUAUUGGGAAGUAACUAGAAUAUGUAGUGUAGCGGUGAAAUGCUUAGAGAUUACAUGGAAUACCAAUUGCGAAGGCAGGUUACUACCAAUAUAUUGACGCUGAUGGACGAAAGCGUGGGGAGCGAACAGG
Molecule: ribosomal RNA, 253 nt
Filed under: uncultured bacterium
Lineage: Bacteria
Description: partial 16S ribosomal RNA
Rfam family: Bacterial small subunit ribosomal RNA
Source: RNAcentral